GACGAACGCUGGCGGCGUGCUUAACACAUGCAAGUCGAACGGAAAGGCCCUGCUUUUGUGGGGUGCUCGAGUGGCGAACGGGUGAGUAACACGUGAGUAACCUGCCCUUGACUUUGGGAUAACUUCAGGAAACUGGGGCUAAUACCGGAUAGGAGCUCCUGCUGCAUGGUGGGGGUUGGAAAGUUUCGGCGGUUGGGGAUGGACUCGCGGCUUAUCAGCUUGUUGGUGGGGUAGUGGCUUACCAAGGCUUUGACGGGUAGCCGGCCUGAGAGGGUGACCGGCGACAUUGGGACUGAGAUACGGCCCAGACUCCUACGGGAGGCAGCAGUGGGGAAUAUUGCACAAUGGGCGGAAGCCUGAUGCAGCAACGCCGCGUGCGGGAUGACGGCCUUCGGGUUGUAAAACGCUUUCGCCUGUGACGAAGCGUGAGUGACGGUAAUGGGUAAAGAAGCACCGGCUAACUACGUG
This 468-nucleotide ribosomal RNA is filed under the name uncultured bacterium. RNAcentral's name for it is "partial 16S ribosomal RNA". It matches the Rfam family "Bacterial small subunit ribosomal RNA", at positions 28 to 507 of the family's 1533-position model. The record is from RNAcentral.